GACGAACGCUGGCGGCGUGCCUAAUACAUGCAAGUAGAACGCUGAAGAGAGGAGCUUGCUCUUCUUGGAUGAGUUGCGCACGGGUGAGUAACGCGUAGGUAACCUGCCUUGUAGCGGGGGAUAACUAUUGGAAACGAUAGCUAAUACCGCAUAACAAUGGAUGACACAUGUCAUUUAUUUGAAAGGGGCAAUUGCUCCACUACAAGAUGGACCUGCGUUGUAUUAGCUAGUAGGUGAGGUAAUGGCUCACCUAGGCGACGAUACAUAGCCGACCUGAGAGGGUGAGCGGCCACACUGAGACUGAGACACGGCCCAGACUCCUACGGGAGGCAGCAGUAGGGAAUCUUCGGCAAUGGGGGCAACCCUGACCGAGCAACGCCGCGUGAGUGAAGAAGGUUUUCGGAUCGUAAAGCUCGGUUGUAAGUCAAGAACGGGUGUGAGAGUGGAAAGUUCACACUGUGACGGUAGCUGACCAGAAAGGGACGGCUAACUACGUG
RNAcentral lists this ribosomal RNA (497 nucleotides) under uncultured bacterium. RNAcentral's name for it is "partial 16S ribosomal RNA". It matches the Rfam family "Bacterial small subunit ribosomal RNA", at positions 28 to 507 of the family's 1533-position model. The record is from RNAcentral.